Molecule: ribosomal RNA, 402 nt
Filed under: uncultured bacterium
Lineage: Bacteria
Description: bacterial SSU rRNA
Rfam family: Bacterial small subunit ribosomal RNA
Source: RNAcentral
UGGGGAAUAUUGCACAAUGGGCGAAAGCCUGAUGCAGCGACGCCGCGUGAAGGAUGACGUAUUUCGGUAUGUAAACUUCUAUCAGCAGGGAAGAAAAUGACGGUACCUGACUAAGAAGCCCCGGCUAACUACGUGCCAGCAGCCGCGGUAAUACGUAGGGGGCAAGCGUUAUCCGGAUUUAUUGGGUUUAAAGGGAGCGUAGGCUGUUAUGUAAGUCAGCGGUGAAAUACCUAAGCUCAACUUAGGGGCUGCCGUUGAUACUGCAUAGCUGGAAUAUGGUUGCUGUUGGCGGAAUGUGUAGUGUAGCGGUGAAAUGCUUAGAUAUCACGCAGAACUCCAAUUGCGAAGGCAGCUUGCUAAACUAUAACUGACACUGAGGCACGAAAGCGUGGGUAUCAAACA